Molecule: ribosomal RNA, 572 nt
Filed under: Phyllachorales sp. L0002
Lineage: Eukaryota; Fungi; Ascomycota; Sordariomycetes; Phyllachorales
Description: eukaryotic LSU rRNA
Rfam family: 5.8S ribosomal RNA (bases 207-360)
Source: RNAcentral
GGAAGUAAAAGUCGUAACAAGGUCUCCGUUGGUGAACCAGCGGAGGGAUCAUUAAAAGAGCGUAAAACCCUCUCAAACCCGUGAACUUUACCAUAUUGUUGCUUCGGUGGGCGGCCCCUGGGAGGGGCUGUAGCCCGCGAGGGCGCUCGCCGAAUGCCCUAAACUAUUUUUUGUUGUAGUAUCUGAGCCUAAGACAUAACUGUCAAAACUUUCAACAACGGAUCUCUUGGUUCUGGCAUCGAUGAAGAACGCAGCGAAAUGCGAUACGUAAUGUGAAUCGCAGAACUCAGUGAAUCAUCGAAUCUUUGAACGCACAUUGCGCCCGCCAGUAUUCUGGCGGGCAUGCCUGUUCGAGCGUCAUUUCCACCCUCAGGCCAUGGGCCUGGUGUUGGGGGCUUGCGGCCGCCGCAACCUCUGAAAAGUAUUGGCGGGCGUACAACAGUCCCGAGCGCAGUAGUUUACACACGCUCGCGGUUCUGCGGUGUCUCCCGCGGUAUAAAUACCCUUAAAAAGGUUGACCUCGGAUCAGGGAGGAAUACCCGCUGAACUUAAGCAUAUCAAUAAGCGGAGGA